GACGAACGCUGGCGGCGUGCUUAACACAUGCAAGUCGAGCGGUAAGGCCUUUCGGGGUACACGAGCGGCGAACGGGUGAGUAACACGUGGGUGAUCUGCCCUGCACUUCGGGAUAAGCCUGGGAAACUGGGUCUAAUACCGGAUAUGACCUCAGGUUGCAUGACUUGGGGUGGAAAGAUUUAUCGGUGCAGGAUGGGCCCGCGGCCUAUCAGCUUGUUGGUGGGGUAAUGGCCUACCAAGGCGACGACGGGUAGCCGACCUGAGAGGGUGACCGGCCACACUGGGACUGAGACACGGCCCAGACUCCUACGGGAGGCAGCAGUGGGGAAUAUUGCACAAUGGGCGAAAGCCUGAUGCAGCGACGCCGCGUGAGGGAUGACGGCCUUCGGGUUGUAAACCUCUUUCAGCAGGGACGAAGCGCAAG
This 424-nucleotide ribosomal RNA is filed under the name Rhodococcus sp. R-42309. RNAcentral describes it as "bacterial SSU rRNA". It matches the Rfam family "Bacterial small subunit ribosomal RNA", at positions 28 to 456 of the family's 1533-position model. Lineage: Bacteria; Bacillati; Actinomycetota; Actinomycetes; Mycobacteriales; Nocardiaceae. RNAcentral also lists the same sequence under 1 other name. The record is from RNAcentral.